This is a long non-coding RNA of Folsomia candida, 348 nucleotides long. RefSeq lists it as uncharacterized. The record is from RefSeq and is a predicted model, not a curated record. NCBI's taxonomy places the organism in Eukaryota, Metazoa, Arthropoda, Collembola, Entomobryomorpha, Isotomidae. The transcript is spliced from 3 exons.
CACUAAAUUUAUUUUUGUGAAUUGCAGAUAUAAUAUUUGUGCCAAUUGUUACUCAAUAUUGUGACCUAUUGCCCCUUCCUCCACCAGAUCCGUGUCUCCACCGGUCAAUUUAUCUGAUCUAUCAGUGUUCACCUAUUUGGCCAAACAAGGGUACUUAAAUCAAUGUGACUUUGUCAAGACUAUUAAAAAACUUUCAAAACUUCGCUUAAGACUCAUCAAUUACUAUGAGACCUUGUUCGUGACUCGGGAAUAGUGUGAAAUUCUCAGGAACGUCAGUAAAGUUUACCAGGUUCAACCAUAAUAUUAAAAUAAUAGUUUCUUAUCUCCAAAAAUUAAAAAAGCAACGAA